CGACUGGCGCGAGUGCGAGCCGGAGUCAGGCUCCUUGAAGAACGACUCGGGCAGGAUCUUCUUCCGCCACGAGCUGGGCUUGGGGUUCAUCACCGAGUUGAAGAGGGCUUCGAGGGUAACUCAAGUCACUAGGGGUUGAGAAGAAACCUGGUCAAAGCUUGGGCGCUGGAAAGGGACAGCGAUCGUGCCCCCCUCUCCCGCGACAUCCGCGCGGGUAGUGGGAGGAUUGGAAUGUCCCUGACGCCCUCCAGAGAGCCUGGAGCCGGGAUGGAACCGGAACAGGUGGCUGGGAGCAGAGAGGGUGCGCCAGUGACCCGGAAAAAACCACCCACCCUCCCACCGACCUGAUCUAGGCGAGGGGUGGAGACCCCCUGCUAGAUCUAGACUGGCAAGACAGCUGCGGGAAGUAGGAGGCGGCCUGGUCCUCCGGAGCAGCUCAGUUCCUUCUUUCCUUGUCCCUUCUCCAUUGGGGAGAAGGGGAGAGUGGCUGCGAGGGAGGUGUGGAAGUUUCUGCUUCUGUAAUUUUGGGAGAUCUGAGCCAUGCUGGGGAAACCACGUGCAGAGGAAGAGGCCCUGAGAUAGGUGGAGACAGGGAGAACUCCAGCCAUCCAGCACCGGAGCUGAGCCCAGCCCCCAGCCGGCCCAACAGCUGACUGCAAGGGCAUCAGUGACCAGCAUCAAGACCAGUAGAACCAGAGCCCAGCUCAGCCCAGCCCAGAUUGUAGAACAAAUAAAAUGAAUAUUGUUUUAAGCUACUAAA
Aethalodelphis obliquidens (Pacific white-sided dolphin) is the source of this 760-nucleotide long non-coding RNA. RefSeq lists it as uncharacterized. The record is from RefSeq and is a predicted model, not a curated record. The transcript has 3 exons. Lineage: Eukaryota; Metazoa; Chordata; Mammalia; Artiodactyla; Delphinidae.